Molecule: ribosomal RNA, 253 nt
Filed under: uncultured bacterium
Lineage: Bacteria
Description: partial 16S ribosomal RNA
Rfam family: Bacterial small subunit ribosomal RNA
Source: RNAcentral
UACGGAGGGUGCGAGCGUUGUCCGGAAUCACUGGGCGUAAAGGGCGCGUAGGUGGCCUGAUAAGUAGGGGGUGAAAUCUUGCGGCUUAACCGCAAGGCUGCCUUCUAAACUGUCGGGCUAGAGCACAGUAGAGGCAGGUGGAAUUCCCGGUGUAGCGGUGGAAUGCGUAGAUAUCGAGAGGAACACCAGUGGCGAAGGCGAGUCCCUGGACACUUCCUGACACUGAGGCACGAAAGCUAGGGGAGCAAACAGG